GCCCGGGCGUGGUGGCACGCGCCUGUAAUCCCAGCUACCCGGAGGCUGAGGUGGGAGGAUCGCUUGAGUCCAGGAGUUCUGGGCUGCAAUGCGCUAUGCCGAUCGGGUGUCCGCACUAAGUUUGGCGUCAAUAUGGUGACCUCCCAGGAGCGGGGGACCACCAGGUUGCCUAAGGAGGGGUGAACCGGCCCAGAUUGGAAAAGGAGCAGGUCAAAAAACAUGUACAGUGUUUAAAGCCAAAAAACAGGGCUGAGGAUUUAGCUCAGUGGCUUUGCCCCCUGCCUCAU
Unclassified non-coding RNA from Fukomys damarensis (Damara mole-rat), 287 nucleotides. It matches the Rfam family "Metazoan signal recognition particle RNA". Rfam says of the family: The signal recognition particle (SRP) is a universally conserved ribonucleoprotein. It is involved in the co-translational targeting of proteins to membranes. NCBI's taxonomy places the organism in Eukaryota, Metazoa, Chordata, Mammalia, Rodentia, Bathyergidae. The record is from Ensembl.